This 292-nucleotide ribosomal RNA is filed under the name uncultured bacterium. RNAcentral's name for it is "partial 16S ribosomal RNA". It matches the Rfam family "Bacterial small subunit ribosomal RNA", at positions 505 to 796 of the family's 1533-position model. The record is from RNAcentral.
GUGCCAGCAGCCGCGGUAAGACAGAGGGUGCAAACGUUGUUCGGAAUUACUGGGCGUAAAGCGCGUGUAGGCGGUCGGGCAAGUCGGGUGUGAAAGCCCAGAGCUCAACUCUGGAAGUGCAUUCGAUACUGCCUGGCUAGAGUCCCGGAGAGGAUGGUGGAACUCUCGGUGUAGAGGUGAAAUUCGUAGAUAUCGAGAAGAACACCGGUGGCGAAGGCGGCCAUCUGGACGGUGACUGACGCUGAGACGCGAAAGCGUGGGGAGCAAACAGGAUUAGAAACCCCCGUAGUCC